RNAcentral lists this ribosomal RNA (165 nucleotides) under Olea europaea subsp. europaea. RNAcentral's name for it is "Bacterial small subunit ribosomal RNA". It matches the Rfam family "Bacterial small subunit ribosomal RNA", at positions 581 to 744 of the family's 1533-position model. Lineage: Eukaryota; Viridiplantae; Streptophyta; Magnoliopsida; Lamiales; Oleaceae. The record is from Rfam by way of RNAcentral.
UUUUUUGUCCGCCAUCAAAUCUCAGGGCUCAACCCUGGAUAGGCGAUCGAAUCUACCAAGAUGGAGUAUGGUAGGGAUAGAGGGAAUUUCUAGUGGAGUAGUGAAAUGCGUAGAGAUUGGAAAGAACACGAACAGCGAAAGUACUCUGCUAGGCCGACACUGACA